GAAGUCCGCCAGGCAGCCGCUGUGCACUAUAGUGCAUGGAGGAAAGUCCGGGCCCCAUAGAGCAGGAUGCCGGCUAACGGCCGGGCGCCGUGAGGCGAUGGAAAGUGGCACAGAAAACAAACCGCCUAAGUCCGCAAGGACCGGCAAGGGUGAAAAGGCGGGGUAAGAGCCCACCGCAGUCCGUGGCAACACGGCUGGCACGCUAAACCCCAUCCGGGGCAAGGCCAAAUAGGGAAGCCAUGGCGCUGCUCGCGCCGCUUCCGGGUAGGCUGCUAGAGCGCCGCGGCAACGCGUCGCCCAGAGGAAUGGCUGCCGGGCAGCUUCGGCUGCCUUACAGAACCCGGCUUACCGGCGGACUUCCAAC
Molecule: RNase P RNA, 364 nt
Filed under: Rhodocyclaceae bacterium
Lineage: Bacteria; Pseudomonadati; Pseudomonadota; Betaproteobacteria; Rhodocyclales; Rhodocyclaceae
Description: RNase P RNA component class A
Rfam family: Bacterial RNase P class A
About the family: Ribonuclease P (RNase P) is a ubiquitous endoribonuclease, found in archaea, bacteria and eukarya as well as chloroplasts and mitochondria. Its best characterised activity is the generation of mature 5'-ends of tRNAs by cleaving the 5'-leader elements of precursor-tRNAs. Cellular RNase Ps are ribonucleoproteins.
Source: RNAcentral